RNAcentral lists this non-coding RNA (30 nucleotides) under Rattus norvegicus (Norway rat). The record is from RNAcentral. Lineage: Eukaryota; Metazoa; Chordata; Mammalia; Rodentia; Muridae.
UGAAAUAAAUCUCCUCUCUCUGCUUUGUGU